UUUAUAUCUUUUACAUGUUCUUUAAUUUGGGAUUAACAGCUUACCUCAUCGGGAACAUGACUAACCUCGUAGUUCACUGGACAAGCCGGACCCGUAAUUUUAGGAUACAGUUAGAGCCGCUUCGGAAUUUGCGACACGAAAUCAGUUGCCACCCCACAUUCAAGAUCAAAUGUUGUCACACACAUGUUUACGCUUCAACACAGAAGGACUGAAGCAACAAGAGACCCUAAUAGUUUACCGAAAGCCAUUCGGGUCGAGCAUCGCACAGCAUCUCUUCCUCCACAUUGUGCAAAAGCCUAUCUCUUCCAAGGAGUUUCUCAUGACCUCCUAUCUCAGUUGGUUUCGGAAAUGGAUGCGGAGUAUUUCCCACCCAAAGAAGAUGUCAUUCGCAGAACGAAGCCCCAACGGA
Molecule: long non-coding RNA, 409 nt
Organism: Hibiscus syriacus
Lineage: Eukaryota; Viridiplantae; Streptophyta; Magnoliopsida; Malvales; Malvaceae
Exons: 3
Source: RefSeq, a predicted model, not a curated record